This 396-nucleotide ribosomal RNA is filed under the name uncultured bacterium. RNAcentral describes it as "partial 16S ribosomal RNA". It matches the Rfam family "Bacterial small subunit ribosomal RNA", at positions 523 to 918 of the family's 1533-position model. The record is from RNAcentral.
AUACGUAGGUGACAAGCGUUAUCCGGAUUUACUGGGCGUAAAGGGCGUGUAGGCGGUCUUGCAAGUCAGAAGUGAAAUUCCUGAGCUCAACUCGGGCGCUGCUUCUGAAACUGCAGGACUUGAGUGCUGGAGGGGAUAGCGGAAUUCCUAGUGGAGCGGUAAAAUGCGCAGAUAUUAGGAAGAACACCGGUGGCGAAGGCGGCUAUCUGGACAGUAACUGACGCUGAGGCGCGAAAGUGUGGGGAGCAAACAGGAUUAGAUACCCUGGUAGUCCACACUGUAAACGAUGAAUGCUAGGUGUAGGGGUAUCGACCCCUUCUGUGCCGCAGUCAACACAAUAAGCAUUCCGCCUGGGGAGUACGGCCGCAAGGUUGAAACUCAAAUGAAUUGGCGGGG